AACUAGAAAGCGAAGUAUUGCAUUUAGUUUCGACCUAAAUCUUGAUCUUUAUUGAUCUCUAGUUU
RNAcentral lists this transfer RNA (65 nucleotides) under Neopetrolisthes maculatus (porcelain anemone crab). RNAcentral describes it as "tRNA-Arg". Lineage: Eukaryota; Metazoa; Arthropoda; Malacostraca; Decapoda; Porcellanidae. The record is from RNAcentral.